This 964-nucleotide ribosomal RNA is filed under the name uncultured bacterium. RNAcentral describes it as "bacterial SSU rRNA". It matches the Rfam family "Bacterial small subunit ribosomal RNA", at positions 45 to 985 of the family's 1533-position model. The record is from RNAcentral.
CGUGCAAGAAUGCAGUCGAGCGGAUAACCAGGGUAGCAAUAUUCUGGUUGUUCAGCGGCGCAAGGGUGCGUAACACGUGGGUAAUUUGCCAUGAAGUCUGGAAUAACUUGCUGAAAGGCGAGCUAAUGCCGGAUGUGACUUCCGAAGGGCAUCUUUUGGAAUUCAAAGCUGGAACCGUAAGGUCUGGCGCUUUUUGAUAAGCCCGCGGUCUAUCAGCUAGUUGGUGAGGUAACGGCUCACCAAGGCUAAGACGGAUAGCUGGUCUGAGAGGACGACCAGCCACACUGGAACUGAGACACGGUCCAGACACCUACGGGUGGCAGCAGUCGAGAAUUUUUCACAAUGGGCGAAAGCCUGAUGGAGCGACGCCGCGUGGGGGAUGAAUGGCUUCGGCCCGUAAACCCCUGUCAUUUGCGAACAAACCUUACCGGUUAAUACCCGGUGAGCCGAUUGUAGCGGAAGAGGAAGGGACGGCUAACUCUGUGCCAGCAGCCGCGGUAAUACAGAGGUCCCGAGCGUUGUUCGGAUUCACUGGGCGUAAAGGGUGCGUAGGUGGUGAGGUAAGUCGGAUGUGAAAUCUCCGGGCUCAACCCGGAAAUGGCAUUGGAAACUACCUUGCUGGAGGAUUUGAGGGGGGAUUGGAAUACUUGGUGUAGCAGUGAAAUGCGUAGAUAUCAAGUGGAACACCAGUGGCGAAGGCGAAUCCCUGGAAAAUACCUGACACUGAGGCACGAAAGCUAGGGGAGCAAACAGGAUUAGAUACCCUGGUAGUCCUAGCCCUAAACGGUGCUUGCUUGCUGUAAGAGGAAUCGACCCCUCUUGUGGCGGAGCUAACGCGUUAAGCAAGCCGCCUGGGAAGUACGGUCGCAAGAUUAAAACUCAAAGAAAUUGACGGGGGCCUGCACAAGCGGUGGAGUAUGUGGCUUAAUUCGAUGCAGCGCGAAGAACCUUACCUGGCCUUGAC